Molecule: non-coding RNA, 625 nt
Organism: Microtus oregoni (creeping vole)
Lineage: Eukaryota; Metazoa; Chordata; Mammalia; Rodentia; Cricetidae
Source: the annotation of a RefSeq genome assembly
AGGAGACAAGCCCUGGAUUCCCAAAUCUUCCUAGUCAGGGUUCAGCAUUGAAGACAGGACACUCAUCAUGGACUUAAGACUCAUAUCUAUUUCGUUUGUUCUUAUUUUAAAAGGUGUCCAGUGUGAGGUGCAGUUGCUGGAGUCUGGGGGAGGCUUAAUGCAGCCUGGAAAGACCCUGAAACUCUCCUGUGCAGCCUCUGGAUUCACCUUCAGUGAUUAUUACAUGAACUGGGUCCGCCAAGCUCCAGGGAAGGGACUGGAGUGGGUCGCAGAGAUUAAUGCAAAUGGUGGUAGCACCUGGUAUACUGACGCUGUGAAGGGCCGGUUCACAAUCUCCAGAGACAAUUCCAAGAACACUCUGUACCUGGAAAUGAGCGGUCUGAAGUCUGAGGACACAGCCAUGUAUUACUGUGCAAGAGGCACAGUGAGUGAAUGCUACUGUGAGCUCAGACAAAAACACCCCCGUGAAGAACACAGAACCAGCAGGGGGCGCGGAGAGCACUUAGCUAUCUGGGUCACAGUAGAGCCUGCUCAGAGAAGUGUGGAAGACCGGACUUCUCUGUGUCUGUCUGUACUGCCUCUCCAUAUCACACUUAGGUAUUUUCUCUACAGGUACAGUGUGUAG